CAAUAGCGUAUAUUAAAGUUGUUGCGGUUAAAAAGCUCGUAGUUGGAUUUCUGCCGAGGACGACCGGUCCGCCCUGUGGGUGAGCAUCUGGAUCGGCCUGGGCAUCUUCUUGGGGAACGUAGCUGCACUUGACUGUGUGGUGCGGUAUCCAGGACUUUUACCUUGAGGAAAUUAGAGUGUUUCAAGCAGGCGCACGCCUUGAAUACAUUAGCAUGGAAUAAUAAGAUAGGACCUCGGUUCUAUUUUGUUGGUUUCUAGAGCUGAGGUAAUGAUUAAUAGGGAUAGUUGGGGGGCAUUAGUACUUGACUGUCAGAGGUGAAAUUCUCAGACCAAUGGAAGACGAACCACUGCGAAAGCAUUUGCCAGGGAUGUUUUCACUGAUCAAGAACGAAAGUUAGGGGAUCGAAGAUGAUUAGAUACCAU
This 423-nucleotide ribosomal RNA is filed under the name uncultured eukaryote. RNAcentral's name for it is "SSU rRNA". It matches the Rfam family "Eukaryotic small subunit ribosomal RNA", at positions 592 to 1018 of the family's 1831-position model. The record is from RNAcentral.